Rhincodon typus (whale shark) is the source of this 511-nucleotide long non-coding RNA. RefSeq lists it as uncharacterized. NCBI's taxonomy places the organism in Eukaryota, Metazoa, Chordata, Chondrichthyes, Orectolobiformes, Rhincodontidae. The transcript is spliced from 3 exons. The record is from RefSeq and is a predicted model, not a curated record.
UCCUGCAGUGUUAGGUGAAGCACACCUAGUUACAUACGUUCUUUUUGACCUUAAUGCACUGUAACUGCCCAGAGAUUAAAAUAACUUGAAUUGUUGCUGCAGACUUGACGUGAGGGAGGUGGGUGUUAUGUACUGUAUAGACAAGUAUAAAAUUGAUGAUCAGCUCAAAGAUGUUUAUAAUUCCUGCAGGUUAAUACAUUGAGAACAGUUAACAUCAACGUCUACAAGCUAUUUCUUCUCCAGGCUUACAGAUUCCAUGCUUGUGUUCUACGACUCCCAUUCGGCCAAAGAGUAAGAGACAACCCGUCGUUCUUUCUUGAGGUCAUCUCUGAUAUGGCUGUUUGUUGCUACUCCAUACUGAAAGCUAAAAACCGAGGGAUACCUCUAGGAUUCAAAGAUGCAGCUGGUCCUUUUCCUUACGAAGCUGCCCAUUGGCUUUGCUAUCAAGCUUUCACUGUGAAAUUGUCCAAUCACAAGGCAGUUUACAAGUGUCUACUAGGACCCCUGAGAA